Molecule: unclassified non-coding RNA, 391 nt
Filed under: soil metagenome
Description: partial contains 5.8S ribosomal RNA, internal transcribed spacer 2, and large subunit ribosomal RNA
Rfam family: 5.8S ribosomal RNA (bases 2-122)
Source: RNAcentral
UAUGAAGAACGUAGCGAAAUGCGAUACUUGGUGUGAAUUGCAGAAUCCCGUGAACCAUCGAGUCUUUGAACGCAAGUUGCGCCCGAAGCCAUUAGGCCGAGGGCACGCCUGCCUGGGCGUCACACGUCGUUGCCCCCCCAUCUACUCCUUCGGGAUUGCGGGGGGCGGAUGAUGGCCUCCCGUGCGCCUCGCCGCGCGGUCGGCAUAAAUGCCAAGUCCUCGGCGACGCACGCCACGACAAUCGGUGGUUGCGAAACCUCGGUUGCCCGUCGUGUGCGGUCGUCGCGCAUCGAGGGCUCGAAAAAAUUGCCGGGUUCCGGCUGGGCUUUCAACGCGACCCCAGGUCAGGCGGGGUUACCCGCUGAAUUUAAGCAUAUCAAUAAGCGGAGGA